Molecule: ribosomal RNA, 198 nt
Filed under: uncultured bacterium
Lineage: Bacteria
Description: partial 16S ribosomal RNA
Rfam family: Bacterial small subunit ribosomal RNA
Source: RNAcentral
ACGCUCGACACCUACGGGAGGCGGCAGUGGGGAAUAUUGCACAAUGGGGGAAACCCUGAUGCAGCGACGCCGCGUGAGCGAAGAAGUAUCUCGGUAUGUAAAGCUCUAUCAGCAGGGAAGAAGAUGACGGUACCUGACUAAGAAGCACCGGCUAAAUACGUGCCAACAGCCGCGGUAAUCUGAGCGGGCUGGCAAGGC